Molecule: ribosomal RNA, 1227 nt
Filed under: metagenome
Description: SSU rRNA
Rfam family: Eukaryotic small subunit ribosomal RNA
Source: RNAcentral
GAUAUGCUUAUCUCAAAGAUUAAGCCAUGCAUGUCUAAGUAUAAAUCAUUUAUACAGGUGAAACUGCGAAUGGCUCAUUAAAUCAGUUAUAAUUUAUUUGAUAGUACAAUUACUACUUGGAUAACCGUGGUAAUUCUAGAGCUAAUACAUGCUAAAAUUCCCGACUUCUGGAAGGGAUGUAUUUAUUAGAUAAAAAACCAAUAUCGGGAAACCGAUUCCCAUGGUGAUUCAUAAUAACUUUUCGAAUCGCAUGACUUUACGUCGGCGAUGAAUCAUUCAAAUUUCUGCCCUAUCAACUUUCGAUGGUAGGACAGAGGCCUACCAUGGUGGUAACGGGUAACGGGGUGUUAGGGCACGACACCGGAGAGGGAGCCUGAGAAACGGCUACCACAUCCAAGGAUGGCAGCAGGCGCGCAAAUUACCCAAUCCCGACACGGGGAGGUAGUGACAAUAAAUAACAAUACGGGGUUCUUUCGGAUUUCGUAAUUGGAAUGAGUACAAUUUAAAUCUCUUAACGAGGAACAAUUGGAGGGCAAGUCUGGUGCCAGCAGCCGCGGUAAUUCCAGCUCCAAUAGCGUAUAUUAAAGUUGCUGCAGUUAAAAAGCUCGUAGUUGAAUUUCGGGACUAAUAUGUCGGUCGUGCCUCGGUACGUACUGGUUUAUUGGUUUCUCCUUUCUGAAGAACCAUGAUGUCAUUUAUUUGGUGUCGUGGGGAAUCAGGACUGUUACUUUGAAAAAAUUAGAGUGUUUAAAGCAGGCUCACGCUUGAAUACAUUAGCAUGGAAUAAUGAAAUAGGACGUUUGAUUCUAUUUUGUUGGUUUCUAGGAUCGACGUAAUGAUUAAUAGGGAUAGUUGGGGGCAUUAGUAUUCAAUUGUCAGAGGUGAAAUUCUUGGAUUUAUUGAAGACUAACUACUGCGAAAGCAUUUGCCAAGGAUGUUUUCAUUAAUCAAGAACGAAAGUUAGGGGAUCGAAGACGAUCAGAUACCGUCGUAGUCUUAACCAUAAACUAUGCCGACUAGGGAUCGGAUGAUGUUAAUUUUUUAAUGACUCAUUCGGCGCCUUACGGGAAACCAAAGUGUUUGGGUUCCGGGGGGAGUAUGGUCGCAAGGCUGAAACUUAAAGGAAUUGACGGAAGGGCACCACCAGGGGUGGAGCCUGCGGCUUAAUUUGACAACACGGGGAAACUCACCAGGUCCAGACACAGUAAGGAUUGACAGACCAAAAAG